CGCAGGAGAGCUUGCUCUGUGGAUCAUUGGCGAACGGGUGAGUAACACGUGAGCAAUCUGCCCCUGACUCUGGGAUAAGCGCUGGAAACGGCGUCUAAUACCGGAUACGAGCUGCGACCGCAUGGUCAGUAGCUGGAAAGAAUUUCGGUCAGGGAUGAGCUCGCGGCCUAUCAGCUUGUUGGUGAGGUAAUGGCUCACCAAGGCGUCGACGGGUAGCCGGCCUGAGAGGGUGACCGGCCACACUGGGACUGAGACACGGCCCAGACUCCUACGGGAGGCAGCAGUGGGGAAUAUUGCACAAUGGGCGCAAGCCUGAUGCAGCAACGCCGCGUGAGGGAUGACGGCCUUCGGGUUGUAAACCUCUUUUAGCAGGGAAGAAGCGAAAGUGACGGUACCUGCAGAAAAAGCGCCGGCUAACUACGUGCCAGCAGCCGCGGUAAUACGUAGGGCGCAAGCGUUAUCCGGAAUUAUUGGGCGUAAAGAGCUCGUAGGCGGUCUGUCGCGUCUGCUGUGAAAACCCGAGGCUCAACCUCGGGCCUGCAGUGGGUACGGGCAGACUAGAGUGCGGAGGGGGAGAUUGGAAUUCCUGGUGUAGCGGUGGAAUGCGCAGAUAUCAGGAGGAACACCGAUGGCGAAGGCAGAUCUCUGGGCCGUAACUGACGCUGAGGAGCGAAAGGGUGGGGAGCAAACAGGCUUAGAUACCCUGGUAGUCCACCCCGUAAACGUUGGGAACUAGUUGUGGUGUCCAUUCCACGGAUUCCGUGACGCAGCUAACGCAUUAAGUUCCCCGCCUGGCGGAGUACAGCCGCAAGGCUAAAACUCACAGGAAUUGACGGGGACGCGCACAAGCGGCGGAGCAUGCGGAUUAAUUCGAUGCAACGCGAAGAACCUUACCAAAGCUUGACAUAUAAAGGACACGUC
Molecule: ribosomal RNA, 921 nt
Filed under: Microbacterium arborescens
Lineage: Bacteria; Bacillati; Actinomycetota; Actinomycetes; Micrococcales; Microbacteriaceae
Description: bacterial SSU rRNA
Rfam family: Bacterial small subunit ribosomal RNA
Source: RNAcentral